Rhabditophanes sp. KR3021 is the source of this 72-nucleotide non-coding RNA. NCBI's taxonomy places the organism in Eukaryota, Metazoa, Nematoda, Chromadorea, Rhabditida, Alloionematidae. The record is from Rfam.
GGGGAUAUAGCUCAGUGGUAGAGCAUGCGAUUGCAGAUCGUGAGGUCCCUGGUUCGAACCCGGGUGUCCCCU